Long non-coding RNA from Tachysurus fulvidraco (yellow catfish), 1406 nucleotides. RefSeq lists it as uncharacterized. The record is from RefSeq and is a predicted model, not a curated record. NCBI's taxonomy places the organism in Eukaryota, Metazoa, Chordata, Actinopteri, Siluriformes, Bagridae. The transcript has 3 exons.
AAAAAGCUGUGUAGGAGAUUAAAUGUGGGUGAGGAACAGACAAACUCUUCUACUAAGGUAAGGCUGUGGGAGACCGUUUCAUGUCACAUAUCAUACAGUAACAAGACUCAAGGUAGUUCUACAGCAUCAGCAUGUUCUCUCCCAGACAAAUAGUCCAAAGCAGACUGGGGUUUCAAGAUGUAAUCACGAUAUUUUGAUGAAGCACUAACAGCCUAUGUUGAGAACCGUAGAUGCAGUGGUUGGCCACGGAAAAUUAAUGCAGCAGAUGAAAUACUACAAGACAUCCGUUUGACAUCAGAAGAUGUCCAGCAGUGCCAGCAGCAAAAGACAUUUUUGCAAAUGGAGAUUUGGUCAGGAUUAAUGGUGUCCUCAAUGCUGAGAAAUACAGGCAGAUACUUAUCCAUCAUGCAAUACCAUCAUGACCAAAUGCAUUCUGCAGCAGGACAACCCCACACACAUACAGCCAAUGUCAUUAACUAUCUUCCAAAUUGAGAAGAACAAGGAGUCCUGGAAGUGAUGUUUUUGGUCUCCAGGGAGCUCUGAUCGAGUCUGUCAGGGAUUACAUGAAAAAGCAGAAGGAUUUGAGGCAGCCAACAUGCACAGAAGAUCUGUUUUUAGUUCUCCAAUUUGUUUGGAACAACCUACCUGCUGAGUUCCUUCAAAAACUGUAGUCACACCAAGUAUUGACUUGAUUUGGAUUUCUCUCCUGUGUAUUUACUUUGAAUUUUGUUAAUUGAUAAAAAUAAACAAUUAACAGUUUUAUUUUUGAAAGCAUUUUCCCCACACCUGCCUAAAAUGUUUGCACAGUACUGUAUUUCAUUAAUAUGAGACACAUGAAACAAAGUGGCUGUGGUGUAAAGUCUGACAAACGUACCACUCUACUUUUGCAGAGGAAAUGGGGUUAAACAGUGAUGAAAUAAUGAGUGAGAAAGGUGAGAAAUGCGAAGAACAUGAAGACACUCAAGCAGAUGUGAGGGUGCCGCCAGUGGACACUGAAAUCGUGCGCACAAUUCUCUUCAAAGGUCUUCUAAAGGUAAAACUUCUACUCUGAAAAAGAGGAAGGCUUGGGAAGUAAAUGAGGUCACCGCAGUGGAGAGACAUAUGAAGACUUUCAUCAUGUCAUGCCGUGUCCCAGGGAAGUUGGCCUGUCAAAACUGCAUUACAGCUGAGCCUUUAGCUGUUAAAGAUAGAGAUUGGCAAAGUGUCAAAUUCUAUGUCUACAAUCGCAUUGUAGCUUAUAAGAGAGAUCUAAACAAGAAUGAUUAGAUAAGACUGAUAAUGGCACUUUGGUACUUUAUGUAGUGUCUUGUACCAGUCAUUUUAGAUUUCAUGUCCCAGGCACCCUAAAUUUCAACAUCUACUCUUCAAUUAACCGAUGAGCAGCCCAGUUUUACACCCACACCUGG